Non-coding RNA from Phasianus colchicus (ring-necked pheasant), 1067 nucleotides. The record is from RefSeq and is a predicted model, not a curated record. Lineage: Eukaryota; Metazoa; Chordata; Aves; Galliformes; Phasianidae.
UUGUUUUCUCAGAAUCUUCUCUCUCAAUGAACUGAAAUUCAGUUGGGCUCAGAAUGGCCCCUGAGAGGUCCAUGUGCCUCUUACUAUAUUGUUCAAUCCCUAAUUAAAUAGGCUUGUGCCUAUGUGACCUAUCUGCAGCACAGCAGCGGGCAGCCUGAUCUGGUGGGGGCAUCCAGUGCUCGGCAGAGCGUUGGAGACAGAUGGGAUUUAAGGUCUCUUCCAAGCUAAGACAUCCUGUGAUUCUAUGACCACCUAUAAUAGGAUGGCAAGAUGAGGACAGAGCAGACAGUCAGACCAACAAUGAUUGCAGGUUGCCCACUGUAGUGGAAAUGCAGUCAUGGCUUGGACCAGUGAUUGAGCACCUGGUGGGAAAGCAGGAUCCACACAGGGAAGCUCAGGUGCAACCAAUGCACCAGAGUGAAUGGAAGGGAUGGAACCAAGAUCCACCCAUUCCCAGACCUCAUUUAAGGGCUGGCACUGGAGGUAAGGGUAUCUUGUUGGAGAUCUCUGUGUACUUGAGGCCUUAUAAAGGCCUGUUUGAUUUGCAGCAUCGUUCCCACUAUUUAUGGUCAUUGAAUUGAAGAGAAAAUCUGACACUUGAAAAAUUGUACUCUGAAACCUCUACUCUUCACACCAAAGUAAGCAUUCCCGAAGCUGACAUGCCCUGGAAGUUGUGGCUCACAAUACAGAUGGAUAAAUGUAAGACUUCUUCCAUGACAUUUGCUUUAUUCAAACUGCAUCUCCAGUCUGUAACAGAAAUGUCCUAAGAACAUGGCUGUAAUACUUCCUUCAGUAUCUGUACCCCACAUAGAAAAGACUCUUUCUCCGACAGUCUGUCCCUGGAGGAGGCUGAAGCAGAGACUGACUACGCUGCUGAGAACACUCCUUUGAAAGACUGAAAUCCCUCAUAUCCAAAUUAGGGUUUCUUCAAAAGCCAAACAAUGCUUGUGAACUAGAACAAAGCAGAUCUGAUAAAACUUUUCAGCAUGUUCCCCAGUAAUUCCCAGCCUGGCAACGUGCUUCAUCUCUAUGACUAUUAAAAUGUCUCCUUCUCUGCUCAUUGCUUU